This is a non-coding RNA of Vicia faba (fava bean), 330 nucleotides long. The record is from the annotation of a GenBank genome assembly. Lineage: Eukaryota; Viridiplantae; Streptophyta; Magnoliopsida; Fabales; Fabaceae.
AUACAAGACUUUGUAAGAAGGUGCGACAUUUGCCAAAGACAGAAGUACAUAGCUUCAUCUCCAGGAGGUUUGUUACAACCUCUACCCAUUCCUCACCAAAUCUGGGAAGAUAUAUCGAAUGACUUCAUCACCGGGUUGCCAAAAUCAAAAGGUUUCGAAGCUAUUUUGGUGGUGGUGGACAGAUUGUCCAAGUACUCUCAUUUUAUUCCUCUAUAUACUGCUAGGAGAGUUGCUGGAGUAUUUUGUAAGGAGAUAGUCAAACUCCAUGGCAUACCUCUUUCCAUGGUGAGUGACAGGGAUCCCAUUUUUAUGAGCAGUUUUUGGAGGGAG